This 417-nucleotide ribosomal RNA is filed under the name uncultured bacterium. RNAcentral's name for it is "bacterial SSU rRNA". It matches the Rfam family "Bacterial small subunit ribosomal RNA", at positions 29 to 429 of the family's 1533-position model. The record is from RNAcentral.
AACGAACGCUGGCGGCGUGCCUAACACAUGCAAGUCGAGCGGGAAAGUUCCCUUCGGGAGCAAGUACAGCGGCGAACGGGUGAGUAACACGUAGGUAACCUACCCUGGAGAUCGGGAUAACCUGCCGAAAGGCGGGCUAAUACCGGAUAAGACCACGAGGGCUGCGGCCCUUGAGGAAAAAGAAUGGCCUCUGCUUGCAAGCUAUCACUCUGGGAUGGGCCUGCGCGCCAUUAGCAGUUGGUGAGGUAACGGCUCACCAAGGCUGAGAUGGCUAGCUGGUCUGAGAGGAUGGCCAGCCACACUGGGACUGAGACACGGCCCAGACUCCUACGGGAGGCAGCAGUGGGGAAUAUUGCGCAAAUGGGCGAAAGCCUGACGCAGCGACGCGCGUGGGUGAUGAAGGCCUUCGGUCGUAAG